UGAGGAGUACCUGUGUGUGUGUGUAUAUAUAUAUAUAUAUAUAUAUACAUAUAUAUAUAUAUAUAUAAAUAUAUACACAUACAUAUAUACACACACACACACAGGCACUCCUCA
This is a non-coding RNA of Pelobates cultripes (western spadefoot toad), 114 nucleotides long. Lineage: Eukaryota; Metazoa; Chordata; Amphibia; Anura; Pelobatidae. The record is from the annotation of a GenBank genome assembly.